Long non-coding RNA from Trichomycterus rosablanca, 854 nucleotides. RefSeq lists it as uncharacterized. The record is from RefSeq and is a predicted model, not a curated record. The transcript has 3 exons. Lineage: Eukaryota; Metazoa; Chordata; Actinopteri; Siluriformes; Trichomycteridae.
AACUUUAUUUUGUGGGCAAAAUAUUCGAUGUGUGAAAAUAUUUGUCAGAACAAUUCAUGUUAAGUGCUGUAAACAGCUGCCAAACUAGCCUUCGUUUCCCCAAAACAAAGCACCCUUAUAGUCUCAUGUAGCACCUCCCACUGCUUUCAUUCGGAAGAAAGAUGCAGAAGGCUGGGGUCCAGGCUGGUGGUCCUUUGCAUGGAGAAACAGACGUGAGCUGAGCGCGCCCGGAUUCGCCUCCCCACCGAGACCCCCUGGCUCCGCCCUGUGAUGCAGUCUCCAUAGCGACCACAGUUUCCUGGGAUGCAAAGAAUGGAACCCUGAAGGUGACUGUUGGAGGUUUUGCUGAUGGGCUUUCACAUCAUAAUCCAGCUCACCUAUGUCUCAUAGAGCAGCAACAGAUCCACACUGUGCCUAGGGUCGACAACCACUUAAUCAAGAAGCCAACACACAGGACAAAGCACAGAACCCAAUCUGAAGACAAACUAUUUACGUCUACAUUGUUAUGUAUCACCAUCUCUUUUAUAUGAGGACUCUAGAAGUGACCUUGUUCAUUGGAUACACUGCCAGGUUGAAUGUAUAUAACUAAUCAGAAAAUAUCUCUGUACCACUCUAGGUAGCAGGUGGAAAUACUGAGACUAAAACUGCCAUGUGUUGCUGAACAUAUUUUACUAAGGUCUCUUUUUGCUGUGUUCUUCAUGUAUUCACAGAGUGUGCCAUUAUCAAACCAGAUGUAUGCGUAUUAAUUUGUCGUCAUUGAGACAAUGCUUAUGUAUUGACUAUAUUAGACAAUAAUAAUAGUGAAAUACUAAAAAUAUUAAAGUUUUUGGACUAAUAAAUGGGUAACCUGAGUA